This 253-nucleotide ribosomal RNA is filed under the name uncultured bacterium. Its description in RNAcentral is "partial 16S ribosomal RNA". It matches the Rfam family "Bacterial small subunit ribosomal RNA", at positions 524 to 776 of the family's 1533-position model. The record is from RNAcentral.
UACAGAGGGUGCAAACGUUGCUCGGAAUUACUGGGCGUAAAGCGCGUGUAGGCUGAUCGGUGUGUCGAGUGUGAAAUCCUUGAGCUCAACUUGAGAACUGCAUUCGAAACUGCCGAACUAGAGUACUGGAGAGGGAUGCGGAAUUCCUGGUGUAGAGGUGAAAUUCGUAGAUAUCAGGAGGAACACCGGUGGCGAAGGCGGCAUCCUGGACAGUUACUGACGCUGAGACGCGAAAGCAUGGGGAGCAAACAGG